Molecule: long non-coding RNA, 1238 nt
Organism: Mauremys reevesii (Reeves's turtle)
Lineage: Eukaryota; Metazoa; Chordata; Testudines; Geoemydidae
Exons: 6
Source: RefSeq, a predicted model, not a curated record
CCUGUAUAGCAGGGCAGCUGCUAGCUAGAGAAAGGUGAUCUAUUGAAAACUAGUUGAAGAAAAGGGGCCAACAGAAGGAGAAAGUGGCUAAUCUCCUACAGAUGGUUAAAUUAUAACCUUCCUGCACAGCUAGGGAUUCCUGAUUUAGAGUGACAGAAUGCAGAUGAGGUAACACUUAGCCCAUGUCCUUGCUGACAUAAGUGUGGUUAUGCCAAUUCUUUACAUCACAUUGGCAAUCUGCUUAAAAUGUUGCUGUUGAGAGAACAAAGAUUAAGUGAACAUGGGGUUUAAACUGGAGAAACACUGGACUAGAAACUGAAGAAUGGGACUGAAGGAACCAACUAAAGGAUCAGAGAAGGGGAUGACUAUCUAUCAUGGAAGGUAGAAGAACUUCCUUGUGCUCCAGAAUGUGGGACAUUCCUUAGGGGUCUGAUCUUCCUUCCUUUGAGGUCAGUGACUAAACAUCUAUUGAGAUCCUAAUGAACAAAUUGGAGAAGAGACAGUCUGUUUCAUCCUUCAGAAGGUGCCCUGGGAGAGAGAGAACAGGAUAUUUAAUUUCAAUAAAACCUAACAGAUCCCAGUAGGACUGGUUGCUAAUACAAGCAAAGAAGCUGACUUCUUUAGAGCUCAGAGAGGUUUGAGUCUCUGUAUUAUGAGCUGGAAGGAAAUUCCAGCUUUCUGCUGAAUGGAUGGUCUAUGAAGCUGGUACAAUCAGUGACACCACAUUUAAAGCAGGGGAGAAACGGACAUUCAAGAGGAUGCCAAGCAGUAUUUAAAGAUUCUGAAAUACUUGUAAAAUGUUCAUCCUGCUAGAAUACAGUGCAAGAAAUGGAAUCCAAUUGCUUCUUCAGGAAAUAUUUAUUACACUGGCCGCCUUUCCAAUCAGACAGAAUAACCCUUUAUAAAUUUAAUCUCAUCUUUGAUUUUUUGUAGAGUUUUCCAGUAGUUUUGCAAAAUGGAAGCAGAGACAACCAUCCAGCUAUCAGUGUCAGUAAGAAAGUGGUGAUGGUGGUGGGGUGGGGGGAGUUUGAGAAAUCAUUUGUAAUAAUGUAAAAGGUGCUAAUUUGGGACAACUUGCCACUUUUUUCCCCUCCUAAGAAUGUAAAAAACCUGAUAGAAUCCUCUAUGGUUUGGAGAUAUGCUUAUUUUUUAAGUGAAAGAAAGUUUGAGUUGUCUCUUUCCAUUGCAUUAAACACAAAGUGGAACUUGGUGUGGAUGAUAGUUUAAGUUUUAUACUA